Molecule: small RNA, 110 nt
Filed under: bovine gut metagenome
Description: ydaO/yuaA leader
Rfam family: c-di-AMP riboswitch aptamer (ydaO/yuaA leader)
About the family: This family represents a conserved RNA structure found upstream of the ydaO and yuaA genes in Bacillus subtilis and related genes in other bacteria. The ydaO/yuaA element is thought to act as a genetic "off" switch for the ydaO and yuaA genes in its native state. It is believed that the element may be triggered during osmotic shock leading to activation of ydaO, a predicted amino acid transporter gene, and members of the yuaA-yubG operon which code for KtrA and KtrB K+ transporters.
Source: RNAcentral
UGCCGAGUGCCGCCCGGCGGCAGCGGGAGAACCAAUUUCGGGGUGAAGGUGCAUACCGGGGAACUUCCUUUCCCUAACCCGUCAGCUAAUCUCGUAGGCGUGGGAAGAGG